UAUCCAGUAAUGGGGUUUUCUGGGUGUUAAACCAAUGAAUGUCUUGUAAUCCUGGGUAAUUGUAUUUCACCCUCAUGUCUUUUUCCAGGCCUACAUUAGGCGGCUAUUACAUUGUCAUCAAUAUCAUCAAUUCUUUGUUUUUCACUUCAUCAUUUUAGUCAUUUAAGCAGCUAUCAACCAUGCUGUGAUGGUCAUGUCAGGUUAUCAACCAUGCUGUGAUGGUCAUGUCAGGUUAUCUACCAUGCUGUGAUGGUCAUGUCAGGUUAUCUACCAUGCUGUGAUGGUCAUGUCAGGUUAUCAACCAUGCUGUGAUGGUCAUGUCAGGCUAUCUACCAUGCUGUGAUGGUCAUGUCAGGCUAUCUACCAUGCUGUGAUGGUCAUGUCAGGUUAUCUACCAUGCUGUGAUGGUCAUGUCAGGUUAUCUACCAUGCUGUGAUGGUCAUGUCAGGUUAUCUACCAUGCCGUGAUGGUCAUGUCAGGCUAUCUACCAUGCCGUGAUGGUCAUGUCAGGCUAUCUACCAUGCCGUGAUGGUCAUGUCAGGCUAUCUACCAUGCCGUGAUGGUCAUGUCAGGCUAUCUACCAUGCCGUGAUGGUCAUGUCAGGCUAUCUACCAUGCCGUGAUGGUCAUGUCAGGCUAUCUACCAUGCCGUGAUGGUCAUGUCAGGCUAUCUACCAUGCCGUGAUGGUCAUGUCAGGCUAAGAUCUUUUUAUUGUUA
Molecule: long non-coding RNA, 717 nt
Organism: Oncorhynchus keta (chum salmon)
Lineage: Eukaryota; Metazoa; Chordata; Actinopteri; Salmoniformes; Salmonidae
Exons: 3
Source: RefSeq, a predicted model, not a curated record